Molecule: ribosomal RNA, 670 nt
Filed under: uncultured bacterium
Lineage: Bacteria
Description: bacterial SSU rRNA
Rfam family: Bacterial small subunit ribosomal RNA
Source: RNAcentral
GGGACAACAGUUGGAAACGACUGCUAAUACCGCAUAAUCCCUGAGGGGGAAAGAUUUAUCGCUUUAAGAUUGGCCCGCGGAAGAUUAGGUAGUUGGUGGGGUAAAGGCCUACCAAGCCGACGAUCUAUAGCUGGUCUGAGAGGACGAACAGCCACAUUGGAACUGAGACACGGUCCAGACUCCUACGGGAGGCAGCAGUGAGGAAUAUUGGGCAAUGGAGGAAACUCUGACCCAGCCAUGCCGCGUGAGUGAAGAAGGUUUUCGAAUUGUAAAGCUCUUUCGGAUGGGACGAUGAUGACGGUACCAUCUAAAGAAGCCCCGGCAAACUUCGUGCCAGCAGCCGCGGUAAUACGAAGGGGGCAAGCGUUGUUCGGAAUUACUGGGCGUAAAGGGUGUGUAGGCGGAUUUGUAAGAUAGUGGUGAAAUACCUGAGCUCAACUUAGGAAUUGCCAUUAUAACUAUAGAUCUGGAGUGACAGAGAGGAUAUUGGAAUACCCAGUGUAGAGGUGAAAUUCGUAGAUAUUGGGUAGAACACCAGUGGCGAAGGCGAGUAUCUGGCUGUCAACUGGCGCUGAGGCACGAAAGCAUGGGGAUCAAACAGGAUUAGAUACCCUGGUAGUCCAUGCUGUAAACGAUGAAUGCUAGUUGUCGGCAAAAGCCGGUGACGCAG